This 254-nucleotide ribosomal RNA is filed under the name uncultured bacterium. RNAcentral describes it as "partial 16S ribosomal RNA". It matches the Rfam family "Bacterial small subunit ribosomal RNA", at positions 524 to 776 of the family's 1533-position model. The record is from RNAcentral.
UACGUAGGGUGCGAGCGUUGUCCGGAAUUAUUGGGCGUAAAGAGCUCGUAGGCGGCCACCGCAAGUCGGUUGUGAAAUCUCUGGGCUUAACCCAGAAAGGUCAACCGAUACUGCGGGGCUAGAGUGCAGAAGGGGCAACUGGAAUUCUCGGUGUAGCGGUGAAAUGCGUAGAUAUCGAGAGGAACACCUGCGGCGAAGGCGGGUUGCUGGGCUGACACUGACGCUGAAGCGCGAAAGCGUGGGGAGCAAACAGG